AAUACAUUAGCUAUGGAUCACGAUGUGUUGAUGUACGGUGUGAUAAUUAUCUACGCUAUAGAUCUCCACGCAAGUUACCACCCCCUUGGGGUAGUGCUUUUAUUAGCCGUGUAACGAGUGAAUACAAAGCUUCUAAUCGUCUUCGGACAAUUUACUUGACAUCUGACCUCAAAUCAGGUAGGACUACCCGCUGAACUUAA
RNAcentral lists this unclassified non-coding RNA (200 nucleotides) under soil metagenome. RNAcentral describes it as "partial contains internal transcribed spacer 2 and large subunit ribosomal RNA". The record is from RNAcentral.